Molecule: long non-coding RNA, 577 nt
Organism: Arabidopsis thaliana (thale cress)
Lineage: Eukaryota; Viridiplantae; Streptophyta; Magnoliopsida; Brassicales; Brassicaceae
Product: other RNA
Exons: 1
Source: RefSeq
AAAGUUUCACUAGCACCCUCCUAUUUUUGUAUAGUAUAUAAAAAGUACCCUAAAGUUAUACAUUUUGUUUCAAAUUAACCCCUCAAAUUUGUAUAUUGUAAUUCAUGACCAUCAAUCAAAUCUUUCAUUUGACUUCAUAUCAUCCCCUCCAAGCUAUGUGAUUUUGUUGGAUUCUGUCAUUUUGCAUCCAUUUAGUAAACACUAUCAUAUAUGAUUCUAUGCAAAUUUUGAUAUGAAGAAAGUCAGAGAACAAGUAUAAACUUUUUUGGUUGCUUUUGUUCCUUGUAACAGACACUCUUCUCACCUCUCUGUGGCCUCACCAUCUCAGCCGUUAUACAUUUAAUAUGAAAUAAAUCCAUCAACAAGUAUGGAAAUAAAGAUCUCAUGCUUAGUGGAACAAGAUGUAACAACUCUUCAAUUUAUGAACUAACAUUGACUCAUCUUUAACACUCACUACUCAGGUCACGAAGCAAAGAUACAACAACCUCUGUGUAACCAGUUGCAUGAAAAAACUCUAGCCCAUUCAAAAUAAUAAAUGCUGUAUUGAUCAUCACUUGGUUGGUGGUGCUGGUUAAUA